This is a long non-coding RNA of Spinacia oleracea (spinach), 1180 nucleotides long. RefSeq lists it as uncharacterized. The record is from RefSeq and is a predicted model, not a curated record. The transcript has 8 exons. Lineage: Eukaryota; Viridiplantae; Streptophyta; Magnoliopsida; Caryophyllales; Amaranthaceae.
CUUUCUCUCUUCUGAUUUUGCUCUCUCAUGAUCCGUUUACUGGGAAUGUUUUCCCCAUUUCAGUUUUUAACCCUAGCUUCUUUCCUCUCUCUCCUCCGCCCCCUCGCAACAAAAUUCAUCGACUUUGGUGAAGCACAUCAAAUGGCGACGAAAGGAUGCCGGAUUUGAAGUAUCUACGGUGGUUGUUGUUCCAUCUCCUCAUAAUUCACACCCAUUCAAUGCAUCAACAAUCAGUCUGCAUCGGUCGGGAGAAAUAACAAAUCAAGUCUGCAAAUACAAAGCAAAUAAGGAUUCCAUCGGUUUAUGACGAUCGAAGGGCACAUUCGAGGAUUUUGAGGAGUCUGAGUAUCGCAAGGUGUUUCAGAAGUCUUAAUAUCUGGUUCAAUUGGCAUGGUGGUGUAUCUGGUGAUCAGAUAUCCUAUCGUCAUGGUAGUAGAGAAUGUGGCUCUAAGGCGCAUCUAAGGAGAGCCUUCUGUCAAUGGUCCAAUCAAUGAAUAUCAUUGUGAGUUGAACCUGCCCCUGGUGUUGAUCUUGAAGGCCUUGAAGUUGCCAAAGAUUGUUUAACAGAAGUCUUCAGACUUCAUCUACUGCCUGAGAAUAAGAAGAUCGGAUUACUGCAGCUCUUGAACAACUUCAUUGGCGGCUUUGGGUAAUUAAAACUCCAGGCUAAAGGUGAAGAUGAAUAGGAGGACGGCGAUCUGAUUAGGAAUAAUGACGAGGGUGGCUAAGUCGACAGUAGCAAGGAGUUUUGGGGCCAAAUUACUAGCUAACGCAUGUGUUGCAUGAGAUAACAAGAUCAAGAAGGCUGCUCAGGGAGUGGUGGGAAAGGAAGUGUGGUACCAAAGUCACCCACGAAGAGGGAAGUGUUGACCACACAACCUAAAGUAGUGGAAGUGAUAGAGAUGAAUUAUAACAGGAGAAGUCGGUGCCUCAUGAUGAAGAAGGUUCCUACUGUGGGAUGUAUAUAUACACUGCUAGGAGCAAGGUUUAAUUCUAGACUAAUUUCCUAUUAUAAUUGAGUUUUUUCUUUGAAUGUUAGUGGUGUAAUAAAAGAACUAUUGUAUGUCAUUUUUCAUUAACUGUUUUUGACGGGGUUUUAGACUACUUAUUGUAUGAGUAACAAGCCAAAGGAACCAGUAGUUGACAUUUAUGUUAUUGAUGUUGAUAUUGAGUUAGUUGA